RNAcentral lists this unclassified non-coding RNA (432 nucleotides) under soil metagenome. RNAcentral describes it as "partial contains 5.8S ribosomal RNA, internal transcribed spacer 2, and large subunit ribosomal RNA". The stretch from base 2 to 119 matches the Rfam family "5.8S ribosomal RNA", at positions 37 to 154 of the family's 154-position model. The record is from RNAcentral.
GUGAAGAACGUAGCGAAAUGCGAUACGUAAUGUGAAUUGCAGAAUUCAGUGAAUCAUCGAAUCUUUGAACGCAUAUUGCGCUCUCUGGUAUUCCGGAGAGCAUGCUUGUUUGAGUAUCAGUAAACACCUCAACUUCCAUAUCUUUUUUGAAAUGGGAGUUGGACUUGAGUGAUCCCAACGCUUUUCCUCACCGAAAAGUGGCGGGUUACUUGAAAUGCAGGUGCAGCUGGACUUUUCUCUGAGCUAUAAGCAUAUCUAUUUAGUCUGCCUAAAAAACAGAUUAUUACCUUUGCUGCAGCUAACAUAAAGGAGAUUAGUUCUUGUGCUGACUGAUGCAGGAUUCACAAAGACAGGCUUCGGCCGACUUUGUAAACUCGAUCUCAAAUCAAGUAAGACUACCCGCUGAACUUAAGCAUAUCAAUAAGCGGAGGA